RNAcentral lists this ribosomal RNA (279 nucleotides) under Streptococcus salivarius. RNAcentral describes it as "partial 16S ribosomal RNA". It matches the Rfam family "Bacterial small subunit ribosomal RNA", at positions 492 to 776 of the family's 1533-position model. Lineage: Bacteria; Bacillati; Bacillota; Bacilli; Lactobacillales; Streptococcaceae. The record is from RNAcentral.
UAUGGUAAUUGUGUGCCGCCGCGGUAAUACGUAGGUCCCGAGCGUUGUCCGGAUUUAUUGGGCGUAAAGCGAGCGCAGGCGGUUUGAUAAGUCUGAAGUUAAAGGCUGUGGCUCAACCAUAGUUCGCUUUGGAAACUGUCAAACUUGAGUGCAGAAGGGGAGAGUGGAAUUCCAUGUGUAGCGGUGAAAUGCGUAGAUAUAUGGAGGAACACCGGUGGCGAAAGCGGCUCUCUGGUCUGUAACUGACGCUGAGGCUCGAAAGCGUGGGGAGCGAACAGG